CUCCCUCCCUGCCUCCAUGCCUACUUUGAAGGACCUUCAACUAAGGCAGUCAGUAAGUCAGGUAGCACCACACCUGGAAUUCUUCCUCAGGCAAAUAGAGCAUCACCGGCAUCUUACCCUCAGCCAAUAGGAUGUUUCACCCCCCAAAUCCCAUCCCAGCCCCCAAGGUUCACAUGGUCUUUGUCUACCUGGAAUAAAGAUGCCAAGAACCGCCUGAGACUGGUUGUAUUUUUCGAACUGUAUGCUUGGGGGAGGGCUCUCUUUCCUGAAGAACACAUCCUUGGACCUUGGACCCAUUUGCUUGGCCAGGCUCCAACGCCCGGAAGAGGCUCACAGCAGAGCACUGGUUGCUGACAUAGCGGCCGCA
Molecule: long non-coding RNA, 367 nt
Filed under: Rattus norvegicus (Norway rat)
Lineage: Eukaryota; Metazoa; Chordata; Mammalia; Rodentia; Muridae
Description: long non-coding RNA NONRATT013072
Source: RNAcentral